Molecule: long non-coding RNA, 316 nt
Filed under: Homo sapiens (human)
Lineage: Eukaryota; Metazoa; Chordata; Mammalia; Primates; Hominidae
Description: non-protein coding lnc-SCGB2B2-132:2
Source: RNAcentral
AGAAGGGCCUCAAGAAGAUGCAGGCCAACAAUGCCAAGGCCAUGAGUGCACGUGCCGAGGCUAUCAAGGCCCUCGUAAAGCCCAAGGAGGUUAAGCCCAAGAUCCCAAAGGGUGUCAGCCACAAGCUCGAUCGACUUGCCUACAUUGCCCACCCCAAGCUUGGGAAGUGUGCUCGUGCCCGCACUGCCAAGGGACUCAGGCUGUGCCGGCUAAAGGCCAAGGCCAAGGAUCAAAUCAGCGCCCAGACUGCAGCUCCAGCUUCAGUUCCAGCUCAAGCUCCCAAAGGUGCCCAGGCCCCUACAAAGGCUUCAGAGUA